AGAAAGAUCGCCAAGGGGUAAGGCAUAGGCCUCAUGAGCCUAUAUGCGCAAGUUCGAGUCUUGCUCUUUCUA
Molecule: transfer RNA, 72 nt
Filed under: Pleodorina starrii
Lineage: Eukaryota; Viridiplantae; Chlorophyta; Chlorophyceae; Chlamydomonadales; Volvocaceae
Description: tRNA-Met
Rfam family: tRNA
About the family: Transfer RNA (tRNA) molecules are approximately 80 nucleotides in length. Their secondary structure includes four short double-helical elements and three loops (D, anti-codon, and T loops).
Source: RNAcentral